Molecule: ribosomal RNA, 746 nt
Filed under: uncultured archaeon
Lineage: Archaea
Description: bacterial SSU rRNA
Rfam family: Archaeal small subunit ribosomal RNA
Source: RNAcentral
CCCCGGGAAACUGGGGCUAAUUCUCGAUAGGUGAAGAACUCUGGAAUGAGUCUUUGCCAAAAAGACGUUUACGUUAUGCUCGUAGGCGUCGCCCAAGGAUGAGGCCGCGACCGAUCAGGUUGUUGGUGAGGUAAUGGCUCACCAAGCCUUUUACCGGUGCGGGCCGUGAGAGCGGGAGCCCGGAGAUGGGCACUGAGACAAGGGCCCAGGCCCUACGGGGCGCAGCAGUCGCGAAAACUUUGCAAUACACGAAAGUGUGACAGGGCUAUCCCGAGUGCCAUCCGCUGAGGAAGGCUUUUACCCAGUCUAGAACGCUGGGGGAAUAAGGAGAGGGCAAGUCUGGUGUCAGCCGCCGCGGUAAUACCAGCUCUCCGAGUGGUGUGGAUGUUUAUUGGGCCUAAAGCAUCCGUAGCUGGCUGAGUUAGUCCCUUGUUAAAUCCACCGAAUUAAUCGUUGGAUUGCGGGGGAUACUGCUCGGCUAGGGGACGAGAGAGGCAGACGGUAUUUCUGGGGUAGGGGUGAAAUCCUAUAAUCCCAGGAGGACCACCAGUGGCGAAGGCUGUCUGCUAGAACGCGCCCGACGGUGAGGGAUGAAAGCUGGGGGAGCGAACCGGAUUAGAUACCCGGGUAGUCCCAGCUGUAAACGAUGCAGACUAGGUGUUUGGACGGCCACGUGCCGUUCUAGUGCCGCAGGGAAGCUGUUAAGUCUGCCGCCUGGGGAGUACGAUCGCAAGAUUGAAACUUAA